GAUGAAGAACGUAGCGAAAUGCGAUACGUAGUGUGAAUUGCAGAAUUCAGUGAAUCAUCGAAUCUUUGAACGCACAUUGCACCUCUCGGUAUUCCGGGAGGUAUGCCUGUUCGAGCGUCAUUUGUACCCUCAAGCUCUGCUUGGUGUUGGGUGUUUGUUCCGCCUCUGUGUGUGAACUCGCCUCAAAACAAUUGGCAGCCGGCGUACUUGUUUCGGAGCGCAGCACAUUUUGCGAUCCAGAUCAACGUACAGCGGCAUCCAAGAAGCCUUAUUUAACGCUCUUGACCUCGGAUCAGGUAGGGAUACCCGCUGAACUUAAGCAUAUCAGCGGAGGA
RNAcentral lists this unclassified non-coding RNA (335 nucleotides) under soil metagenome. RNAcentral describes it as "partial contains 5.8S ribosomal RNA, internal transcribed spacer 2, and large subunit ribosomal RNA". The stretch from base 1 to 120 matches the Rfam family "5.8S ribosomal RNA", at positions 35 to 154 of the family's 154-position model. The record is from RNAcentral.